GUGAACGCUGGCGGUAGGCCUAACACAUGCAAGUCGAACGGCAGCACAGUAAGAGCUUGCUCUUACGGGUGGCGAGUGGCGGACGGGUGAGGAAUACAUCGGAAUCUACUUUUUCGUGGGGGAUAACGUAGGGAAACUUACGCUAAUACCGCAUACGACCUACGGGUGAAAGCAGGGGAUCUUCGGACCUUGCGCGAUUGAAUGAGCCGAUGUCGGAUUAGCUAGUUGGCGGGGUAAAGGCCCACCAAGGCGACGAUCCGUAGCUGGUCUGAGAGGAUGAUCAGCCACACUGGAACUGAGACACGGUCCAGACUCCUACGGGAGGCAGCAGUGGGGAAUAUUGGACAAUGGGCGCAAGCCUGAUCCAGCCAUACCGCGUGGGUGAAGAAGGCCUUCGGGUCGUAAAGCCCUUUUGUUGGGAAAGAAAAGCAGCAGGUUAAUACCCCGCUGUUCUGACGGUACCCAAAGAAUAAGCACCGGCUAACUUCGUG
This 491-nucleotide ribosomal RNA is filed under the name uncultured bacterium. Its description in RNAcentral is "partial 16S ribosomal RNA". It matches the Rfam family "Bacterial small subunit ribosomal RNA", at positions 29 to 507 of the family's 1533-position model. The record is from RNAcentral.